ACUUAAAUUUUGAGCCUUAGUAAAGAAAUUUACUAAGUGACUGUUUUCACAUUCAGGGAAACCUAAGGUUUUAAAUAUAAGGUAAUCCUGAGCCAAAUUUUAAUUAUAAAAUAGGUGCAGAGACUCAAAGGAAACUAUCCUAACGUCCUUAUUUUUUAUUAUUUAAGUAUCACUUUUAAAGUGCACACUAUAAAAGAUAUGUUUAAAAUAAUAAAAAAAUUUGAUGAAUACUAAAUAAUAGUUUUUUUUUAAACAACUUUUAAUAGACGAGGAUAAAGAUAGAGUCCUUUUUAUAAUCUAUAUAAUUUUUACUUAAAAAUAGAUUAAAAAAGAAAAUCCGUUGGCUUUAAUAGACCUUGAGGGUUCAAGUCCCUCUACCCCCA
RNAcentral lists this transfer RNA (383 nucleotides) under Siphonolejeunea elegantissima. RNAcentral's name for it is "partial tRNA-Leu". The stretch from base 1 to 136 matches the Rfam family "Group I catalytic intron", at positions 7 to 158 of the family's 253-position model. The record is from RNAcentral. Lineage: Eukaryota; Viridiplantae; Streptophyta; Jungermanniopsida; Porellales; Lejeuneaceae.